This 54-nucleotide ribosomal RNA is filed under the name Aureobasidium sp. C5. RNAcentral's name for it is "partial 18S ribosomal RNA". The record is from RNAcentral. Lineage: Eukaryota; Fungi; Ascomycota; Dothideomycetes; Dothideales; Saccotheciaceae.
CCCUUACUCCUUAAUGAUCUUCUUCCGUAAGGUGAACCUGCGGAAGGAUCAUUA